This 56-nucleotide non-coding RNA is filed under the name unclassified sequences. The record is from Rfam.
CAGGAGUUGGUCAAUGCGAUUACUCCCCAGAUGGAAUAUCGCAAUACCAAUGAUGA